Molecule: small nuclear RNA, 332 nt
Organism: Homo sapiens (human)
Lineage: Eukaryota; Metazoa; Chordata; Mammalia; Primates; Hominidae
Gene: RN7SK
Product: RNA component of 7SK nuclear ribonucleoprotein
Exons: 1
Source: RefSeq, marked provisional
GGAUGUGAGGGCGAUCUGGCUGCGACAUCUGUCACCCCAUUGAUCGCCAGGGUUGAUUCGGCUGAUCUGGCUGGCUAGGCGGGUGUCCCCUUCCUCCCUCACCGCUCCAUGUGCGUCCCUCCCGAAGCUGCGCGCUCGGUCGAAGAGGACGACCAUCCCCGAUAGAGGAGGACCGGUCUUCGGUCAAGGGUAUACGAGUAGCUGCGCUCCCCUGCUAGAACCUCCAAACAAGCUCUCAAGGUCCAUUUGUAGGAGAACGUAGGGUAGUCAAGCUUCCAAGACUCCAGACACAUCCAAAUGAGGCGCUGCAUGUGGCAGUCUGCCUUUCUUUU